RNAcentral lists this ribosomal RNA (492 nucleotides) under uncultured bacterium. Its description in RNAcentral is "partial 16S ribosomal RNA". It matches the Rfam family "Bacterial small subunit ribosomal RNA", at positions 29 to 507 of the family's 1533-position model. The record is from RNAcentral.
AAUGAACGCUGGCGGUAGGCCUAAUACAUGCAAGUCGAACGGCAGCACAGUAAGAGCUUGCCUCUACGGGUGGCGAGUGGCGGACGGGUGAGGAAUACAUCGGAAUCUACUAUUUCGUGGGGGAUAACGUAGGGAAACUUACGCUAAUACCGCAUACGAUCUACGGGUGAAAUCAGGGGUUCUUCGGACCUUGCGCGACUCAAUGAGCCGAUGUCGCAUUAGCUAGUUGGCGGGGUAAAGGCCCACCAAGGCAACGAUGCGUAGCUGGUCUGAGAGGAUGAUCAGCCACACUGGAACUGAGACACGGUCCAGACUCCUACGGGAGGCAGCAGUGGGGAAUAUUCGACAAUGGGCGCAAGCCUGAUCCAGCCAUGCCGCGUGAGUGAUGAAGGCCUUCGGGUCGUAAAGCCCUUUUAUUAGGGAAGAAAAGAAGCAUAUUUAACCCCCGCUAUUCUGACGGUACCUAAUGAGAAAGCCACGGCUAACUUCGUG